This 245-nucleotide ribosomal RNA is filed under the name uncultured Lutispora sp. RNAcentral describes it as "partial 16S ribosomal RNA". It matches the Rfam family "Bacterial small subunit ribosomal RNA", at positions 796 to 1041 of the family's 1533-position model. The record is from RNAcentral. Lineage: Bacteria; Bacillati; Bacillota; Clostridia; Lutisporales; Lutisporaceae.
CACGCUGUAAACGAUGGAUACUAGGUGUGGGAGGUAUCGACCCCUUCCGUGCCGCAGUUAACGCAAUAAGUAUCCCGCCUGGGGAGUACGGCCGCAAGGUUGAAACUCAAAGGAAUUGACGGGGGCCCGCACAAGCAGCGGAGCAUGUGGUUUAAUUCGAAGCAACGCGAAGAACCUUACCAGAGCUUGACAUCGUCUGAAUCAUCCGUAAUGGGAAAAGUCCUUCGGGACAGAUAGACAGGUGG